GAUGAACGCUAGCGGCAGGCCUAAUACAUGCAAGUCGAACGGUAACAGGGUAGCAAUACUGCUGACGAGUGGCGCACGGGUGAGUAACGCGUAUGCAACCUACCUUUAACUGGAGGAUAACCCCUCGAAAGAGGGACUAAUAUUCCAUAGUAAUCAGAGAAGGCAUCUUUUUGGUUUAAAGCUCCGGCGGUUAAAGAUGGGCAUGCGUGACAUUAGUUAGUUGGUGAGGUAACGGCUCACCAAGACGAUGAUGUCUAGGGGUUCUGAGAGGAUGAUCCCCACACUGGUACUGAGACACGGACCAGACUCCUACGGGAGGCAGCAGUGAGGAAUAUUGGUCAAUGGGCGAGAGCCUGAACCAGCCAAGUCGCGUGAAGGAUGAAGGUUUUAUGAAUUGUAAACUUCUUUUGCAGGGGAAUAAAGUGUCCGACGUGUCGGAUUUUGUAUGUACUCUGCGAAUAAGGAUCGGCUAACUCCGUG
RNAcentral lists this ribosomal RNA (480 nucleotides) under uncultured bacterium. RNAcentral describes it as "bacterial SSU rRNA". It matches the Rfam family "Bacterial small subunit ribosomal RNA", at positions 28 to 507 of the family's 1533-position model. The record is from RNAcentral.